GAAUUCAUCACGAGUCUCCUCUCGGGAAUGAAAUGGAUGAGCGUGGAUGACACUGGACACCUGAGAUCCGUACAGCUCUCUGGUCUCGUUAUUCAAGUCUCCCCCUACUUUGUAAGGGGAAGCGGAAGUAGCUGGUGGGCAGAAGCCCACUUCCGAUAUUGCUCCGGCUAGCCUUUCUGGCCGGGCCGGGACAGGGUCCCUGUCUUCCUGGCAGCCUGGGUCCCAGACUGACCCCUGGCCCGUGGAGGCCCGCCCUCGGCGAAGGUUCGGUCUUCCAUUGGUGGAGGCUGCGAGCUGCGUCCGUCCGUCUUUCAACCAGUGGACUCGUCUGUCUCUUCUCCCUGUUUGGUAAAGUCAGGCCCUCCUCCGGGCAGACAGGGGGCGCCAGAGCGCGGGGCGCGAGGCCUCGGAGGCUCUCUGACACGGAAGUGACGUCACGCAGCCGGAAAUCCGCGCCGGCUGGGACUAGAGAUGAUGGGCUGUUCCGGCGCCUGGAAGCCGAACAAGCGGAGUUCCACGAAGCGGUGGGAAGGAGACCAAGGAAGACCCCAAGAACACCCCCACAGAAGAGGUGUGCAGAGGAGAGGCGCUGCAGAGGAGGCGGACACAGCUGGAAGGGACAGGAUUUAUGUUGCAUACUUGAACUACAAAAAUACAGUGAAGGAAAAAGAUCAAAGUCAUCCCUAAUUUUAUCACCCAGGUUAACCUAAUCAAGUAGCUCCUGGGGGGUGGGAAGGGACAGACUGUGAUUUCAAAACAUAGAAUAGAUAAACAAGAUUACACUGUAUAGUACAGGGAAAUAUAUACAAGAUCUUAUGGUA
Molecule: non-coding RNA, 821 nt
Organism: Vicugna pacos (alpaca)
Lineage: Eukaryota; Metazoa; Chordata; Mammalia; Artiodactyla; Camelidae
Source: RefSeq, a predicted model, not a curated record